Molecule: ribosomal RNA, 2054 nt
Filed under: Parribacus antarcticus
Lineage: Eukaryota; Metazoa; Arthropoda; Malacostraca; Decapoda; Scyllaridae
Description: eukaryotic LSU rRNA
Rfam family: Eukaryotic large subunit ribosomal RNA
Source: RNAcentral
UGAACAGGGUAUAGCCCAGCGCAGAAGCUCGUGUCCCCCAACCGGGCACGAGCGGUGUUGCGUUCCGGAGGGUCCAGCACGCCGUCCCAUACCGCCUAAGUCAAGCUUGAACGCGGCCACUACCCAUGGAGGGUGACAGGCCCGUAUGGCGGCGCCCGCGAGGGUACAGAUGGGGCGGUCGGAAAGGGCCUCUCUCCGUAGAGUCGGGUUGCUUGAAAAUGCAGCCCAAAGUAGGUGGUAAACUCCAUCUAAGGCUAAAUAUGACCACGAGACCGAUAGCGAACAAGUACCGUGAGGGAAAGUUGAAAAGAACUUUGAAGAGAGAGUUCAAGAGUACGUGAAACCGUCAAGAGCCAAACGGGUGGAGGCUCGAAGGUCGAAUUGAGGGGAUUCAGCUCGUCGUCAGCUUGGCUGGUGGGAGAUGUCACGGCACGACCCUACUGCUCACUUGGGCGUCCCUCCUAACCAAGCCGGCGUCGGCGGGCGUACUUCGCCUCGUAGUAGGUCGCCGCGACCCGUUGAAUUUGGGGACGUCUAAGGCCCGAACGGAUUGGUACCCCGCCGCCUGCCUUUCUCUCUCACGAGAGGGGGUCCGGCGACUGGGGGAAACCCUCGGUGUCCUGGCUGCCCUGCGACGGUCGUUGAGAUGAGCCCUCCCCCCCUCGGUUCCAAAGACCAAGGGGGAGGUCUCUCGCGGCGUGCAAAAGGUCGGCGCUCCACCCGUCCCGUCUUGAAACACGGGCCAAGGAGUCCAACAUGUGUGCGAGUCAUUGGGCGCACUAAACCCAAAGGCGCAAUGAAAGUGAGACGGCUUGGCGUGACGAAGGCGGGGGCGGGGGUGUUGGGAGGUCAACGCAGCUGCGGUCGGUCGAUUUCGGUCUUCUGCAGUUGCUCGCCUCUUCUUCUUCUUCUUACCCUCUUCCGGAGUCGCGCCGCUGGCCAGGGCCGAUCCCCGACUGGCUGCCUCCAGCUCUUUCCGUCUUUCUCGGCGCGGUCACGCGGGGUGAGUCACUUUCCUCCGCCUCUGCUGCGUCGGGGUUAUCAAAGGCGGGGGUUGGCCGGCGAAGGUCUUUUUAUUCUGUGGAAACCUGCUGAAUGCGACAGGGGGGCGCAGGCCCGGGACUUGCCAGGGACGCCACGCGUUCCCUUAGGCGCGUCUUUUCAGGCGUGCCGAAGGGGGGCGAGUGCGCAGUCGGCAAGUACCAUGAGCAGGCAUGUUGGGACCCGAAAGAUGGUGAACUAUGCCUGGCCAGGAUGAAGCCAGAGGAAACUCUGGUGGAGGUCCGUAGCGAUUCUGACGUGCAAAUCGAUCGUCAGAGCUGGGUAUAGGGGCGAAAGACUAAUCGAACCAUCUAGUAGCUGGUUCCCUCCGAAGUUUCCCUCAGGAUAGCUGGAACUCGCCACCGCAUGAAUUUCAUCCGGUAAAGCGAAUGAUUAGAGGUCUUGGGGACGAAACGUCCUCAACCUAUUCUCAAACUUUAAAUGGGUGAGAUGCCGAGCUUGCUUAAAAGAUGAAGCUUCGGCGACGAAUCGGAGUUGGUAAGCAGNUCUGGCGCUGUGGGAUGAACCAAACGUCGAGUUAAGGGGCCUAAACGAAUGCUCAUUCAGAUCCCAUCGAAAGGUGUUGGUUGCUAUAGACAGCAGGACGGUGGCCAUGGAAGUUGGAAUCCGCUAAGGAGUGUGUAACAACUCACCUGCCGAAGCAACUAGCCCUUAAAAUGGUAUGGCGCUCAAGCAUUCUCCCGAUACUCGACCGCCGGGGCACUACCGACCGCCGAGCGGACUACCUUGUCCGUUUCAGGUCUCGAAGCCCCGGCGAGUAGGAGGGUCGCGGUGGUGUGCGCUGAAGGGUUCGGCGUAAGCCGGCCUGGAGCCUCCACCGGUGCAGAUCUUGGUGGUAGUAGCAAAUAAUCGAGAGAGACUCCCUUGAAGGCCGAAGUGGAGAAGGGUUCCAUGUGAACAUCAGUUGGACAUGGGUUAGUCGCUCCUAAGCCCAAGGCGAAAGCCUGAUCCCACGUUAGAGGCAACGACCAAACGAAGGGGGAAAGAGGGGG